Non-coding RNA from Arabidopsis thaliana x Arabidopsis arenosa, 117 nucleotides. Lineage: Eukaryota; Viridiplantae; Streptophyta; Magnoliopsida; Brassicales; Brassicaceae. The record is from the annotation of a GenBank genome assembly.
AGAUGCGAUCGUACCAGCACUAAUGCACCGGAUCCUAUCAAAACUCCGCAGUUAAGCGUGCUUGGGCGAGAGUAGUACUAGAUUGGUGACCUCUCGAAAGUUCUCGUGUUGCAUCCC